RNAcentral lists this ribosomal RNA (336 nucleotides) under uncultured bacterium. Its description in RNAcentral is "bacterial SSU rRNA". It matches the Rfam family "Bacterial small subunit ribosomal RNA", at positions 72 to 422 of the family's 1533-position model. The record is from RNAcentral.
AAGUGGAGCAAUCCAUGAGUAAAGUGGCGCACGGGUGAGUAACACGUGACUAACCUACCCUCGAGUGGGGAAUAACCUCGGGAAACCGGGGCUAACACCGCAUAACAUCUACGGAUCAAAUGCGUAAGCAGCUUGAGGAGGGGGUCGCGGCUGAUUAGCUAGUUGGUGAUGUAAUGGCUCACCAAGGCGAAGAUCGGUAUCCGGCCUGAGAGGGCGCACGGACACACUGGAACUGAAACACGGUCCAGACUCCUACGGGAGGCAGCAGUGGGGAAUUUUGCGCAAUGGGGGAAACCCUGACGCAGCAACGCCGCGUGGAGGAUGAAGCCCUUUGGG